AUUGAACGCUGGCGGCAGGCCUAACACAUGCAAGUCGAACGGUAACAGGAAGAAGCUUGCUUCUUUGCUGACGAGUGGCGGACGGGUGAGUAAUGUCUGGGAAACUGCCUGAUGGAGGGGGAUAACUACUGGAAACGGUAGCUAAUACCGCAUAACGUCGCAAGACCAAAGAGGGGGACCUUCGGGCCUCUUGCCAUCGGAUGUGCCCAGAUGGGAUUAGCUUGUUGGUGGGGUAACGGCUCACCAAGGCGACGAUCCCUAGCUGGUCUGAGAGGAUGACCAGCAACACUGGAACAGAGCCACGGCCAAGACUCCGAGGGGAGGCAGAGGGGGGAAUUUUUGCACAAGGGGCGAAAGCUGGAUGCACCCUUCCGGCGUGAAUAAAGAAGGCUUUGGGUUUAAAAAUUCUUUCCGGCGGGGAGGAAGGAAAAAAAGUAAAUCCUUUUGCCCUUUGACUUCCCCCGAAAAAGAACCCCGGCCAACCCCCGGC
This 490-nucleotide ribosomal RNA is filed under the name uncultured bacterium. RNAcentral describes it as "partial 16S ribosomal RNA". It matches the Rfam family "Bacterial small subunit ribosomal RNA", at positions 30 to 508 of the family's 1533-position model. The record is from RNAcentral.